Molecule: long non-coding RNA, 1683 nt
Organism: Panicum virgatum (switchgrass)
Lineage: Eukaryota; Viridiplantae; Streptophyta; Magnoliopsida; Poales; Poaceae
Exons: 2
Source: RefSeq, a predicted model, not a curated record
GGUUGCUGCAAGCUGUUCUGCUUGCAUCUCAGGCAUUCGACGCAGAAUAGCAUCAAAGGAGACAUGCUGACUGGUAGAUGAGGUGCAAGCCUGAAGAUCCACGUCCACAAGGUGUGAUCUUUUGUCAUUUCUUUUCCCUACAGGUUUCUUAUAUGCUCCAUAUUUUGCUUAAGCUCAAUUCUGAUGGCAAGUACUAGCCAUAUUGUUCCUUAAUUUGGCUACAUUUUCAAUUCAUCUUCCAUACUACUGCUUUAGUUAAUAAUUGUAUGGCUGACCAGUGUUCUUAAGAGGGAGUAAUAAUUAUAGAAGAGUCAAAUCUGUCGAGUUAUGCUUGGAAGCCUCAGAACUCAGAAUAGGUGAUUAGUUUGUAUCUAAUGACUACUGCUUUAGUGAAGAAUAUCGGUAAAACAGUUGGCCGUGAUCUACCAUUCCCCUAAUUUAGUGUAUUCAUUAGUUAAAUGAGAAUAUCAGUCAUCAUAUUGAGAUCAUUUAAUUAAUUUUGCAUGCUCACAUUUUUUUCCCAUUCUCCCUCCUGAACUACUAUGCAUCUCUAUCCAAUAAGAAUAAUUGCAUCUUCUGUAUCUUGCAUUCUGUAUCUUGAAUUCCUAUGUAGCCCUGUAUUGUUUGUGCAUGCUUGGUCAACAAUGGAUGGACCGACCUGAAAAGGAAAGCUGCUCUUGGCUACUCAAAUUGUAAGCUAUCUCAUAAUUAAGGAGCAGGGUGGCACCUCUGUUGCUCUCUGAACCACCAACCACACCACAGAGCGGCAGCAAGAUUACUGAACCGAGAUUACAUGUCCUCCCCAAUCUCCAUAUGCUACAUUGAACUGAUCUUGGUAGAGCCAGUAAAGAAAAGAAUAUGUGGUUUCUGUAACCUUCCGAUUCCCACCGUCUGAACCUCUUCUCCUGAAGGAAAACCCUGUGGUUUCUGGGAUUUUAUUUUGUGAUGUUUCGAUCUUUUUUUUUUGUUUGGAACAACUUGUGAUGUUUCAAUCUGGUUUUGUGGAUCUUGGGGGCAUAAUGUUUCCGGAUGAUAUCUUGCUGAAAUCUGUGUAUGAUUGAUGCAAUGUGCUAAGACCCUGAAUCAAAUCUGCAGGCCUCAAAGGCUCGAAGCGAGGUGGCAAGGUGCCGGUGCCGGUGCCAGCCAAGCUCGGACGCAGCAUGGGCUGCUACAGCCUGGAGCCACGGGCAGACAAGGCCAUAUGGGCACGUUGCGGUGGGUCAGUCCCGGGUGGUGGCGAGAGGGCGGCGUGGCAACAUGCUCCUGGUUGAUCUUGAGCUCAAGCAUAGCAACGAGCGCCGGCCAGCACGGCGGAUAUGCUCAUAAACCUGCUAUAUCCAGUUAUCAUUCCGAUUCCAUAUAUGGGUGAUAAGGGCAACUAGCACUAGAAAACUGUCACUAAUGACCACGAAACAACACCUACCUUUCAAUGUGCUAUCGCCUUGCAUUUAGGGAAGCAAAUAGUAAGGCAGUGAUCUAAGAGCACAUAUUGUGAUGGCAUUACUUUUAUUGGUCUUCCGCAGCACUAAGUCAUGAACCCAUGGAUUGUUCCUGCAAUUCGACAUGUUGUCAUAUGUAAAACUUGUAUUUGAGUAAAACAGUGCAUAUGUUAGCAUAUUAACGAUGUAUUUAUUACAAUAUGGUGUGAUUUUGUGUUGAAUUAUUAUCAUAUACUAUGCAUGA